UCUCAGUGAUGAAAACUUUGUCCAGUUCUGCUACUGACUCUGAGUGACGAGACGAUAAUAUCUGAAGAGA
Small nucleolar RNA from Manis pentadactyla (Chinese pangolin), 70 nucleotides. The record is from RefSeq and is a predicted model, not a curated record. NCBI's taxonomy places the organism in Eukaryota, Metazoa, Chordata, Mammalia, Pholidota, Manidae.